AACGAGGCGAACCGGGGGAACUGAAACAUCUAAGUACCCCGAGGAAAAGAAAUCAACCGAGAUUCCCCCAGUAGCGGCGAGCGAACGGGGAGCAGCCCAGGACCUGAAUCAGCUUGUGCAUCAGUGGAAGCGUCUGGAAAGUCGCGCGAUACCGGGUGACAGCCCCGUACACGAAGAUGCAUGAGCUGUGAGUCCGACGAGUAGGGCGGGACACGUGGUAUCCUGUCUGAACAUGGGGGGACCAUCCUCCAAGGCUAAAUACUCCUGACUGACCGAUAGUGAACCAGUACCGUGAGGGAAAGGCGAAAAGAACCCCGGCGAGGGGAGUGAAACAGAACCUGAAACCGUGUACGUACAAGCAGUGGGAGC
Molecule: ribosomal RNA, 369 nt
Filed under: Pantoea dispersa
Lineage: Bacteria; Pseudomonadati; Pseudomonadota; Gammaproteobacteria; Enterobacterales; Erwiniaceae
Description: partial 23S ribosomal RNA
Rfam family: Bacterial large subunit ribosomal RNA
Source: RNAcentral